This 496-nucleotide ribosomal RNA is filed under the name uncultured bacterium. Its description in RNAcentral is "partial 16S ribosomal RNA". It matches the Rfam family "Bacterial small subunit ribosomal RNA", at positions 29 to 507 of the family's 1533-position model. The record is from RNAcentral.
AUGAACGCUGGCGGCGUGCCUAAUACAUGCAAGUCGAGCGAACAGACGAGGAGCUUGCUCCUCUGACGUUAGCGGCGGACGGGUGAGUAACACGUGGAUAACCUACCUAUAAGACUGGGAUAACUUCGGGAAACCGGAGCUAAUACCGGAUAAUAUAUUGAACCGCAUGGUUCAAUAGUGAAAGAAGGAUUUGCUGUCACUUAUAGAUGGAUCCGCGCCGCAUUAGCUAGUUGGUAAGGUAACGGCUUACCAAGGCAACGAUGCGUAGCCGACCUGAGAGGGUGAUCGGCCACACUGGAACUGAGACACGGUCCAGACUCCUACGGGAGGCAGCAGUAGGGAAUCUUCCGCAAUGGGCGAAAGCCUGACGGAGCAACGCCGCGUGAGUGAUGAAGGUCUUCGGAUCGUAAAACUCUGUUAUUAGGGAAGAACAAAUGUGUAAGUAACUAUGCACGUCUUGACGGUACCUAAUCAGAAAGCCACGGCUAACUACGUG